Long non-coding RNA from Aricia agestis (brown argus), 74 nucleotides. RefSeq lists it as uncharacterized. The record is from RefSeq and is a predicted model, not a curated record. NCBI's taxonomy places the organism in Eukaryota, Metazoa, Arthropoda, Insecta, Lepidoptera, Lycaenidae. The transcript is spliced from 4 exons.
AAACACAAUGUUUAAAUGUGUUGAUCGUGCCAGCUCUUGUUAACUGACCUUGUAACAACUCCGUUCAAAUUGUC